RNAcentral lists this unclassified non-coding RNA (345 nucleotides) under soil metagenome. RNAcentral describes it as "partial contains 5.8S ribosomal RNA, internal transcribed spacer 2, and large subunit ribosomal RNA". The stretch from base 1 to 120 matches the Rfam family "5.8S ribosomal RNA", at positions 35 to 154 of the family's 154-position model. The record is from RNAcentral.
GAUGAAGAACGUAGCGAAAUGCGGUACGUAAUGUGAAUUGCAGAAUUCAGUGAAUCAUCGAGUCUUUGAACGCACAUUGCGCCCCCUGGUAUUCCGGGGGGCAUGCCUGUCCGAGCGUCAUUGCUGCCCUCAAGCACGGCUUGUGUGUUGGGCCUCCGUCCUCCUCCCGGGGGACGGGCCCGAAAGGCAGCGGCGGCACCGCGUCCGGUCCUCGAGCGUAUGGGGCUUCGUCACCCGCUCUUGUAGGCCCGGCCGGCGCUUGCCGACACAUCAAUCUUUUUUCCAGGUUGACCUCGGAUCAGGUAGGGAUACCCGCUGAACUUAAGCAUAUCAAUAAGCGGAGGA